Molecule: ribosomal RNA, 447 nt
Filed under: uncultured Gammaproteobacteria bacterium
Lineage: Bacteria; Pseudomonadati; Pseudomonadota; Gammaproteobacteria
Description: SSU rRNA
Rfam family: Bacterial small subunit ribosomal RNA
Source: RNAcentral
UACGGGAGGCAGCAGUGGGGAAUAUUGCACAAUGAGCGAAAGCUUGAUGCAGCCAUACCGCGUGUGUGAAGAAGGCCCGAGGGUUGUAAAGCACUUUCAAUUGUGAGGAAGAUAGUGUCGUUAAUAUCGGCAUUGUUUGACGUUAACUUUAGAAGAAGCACCGGCUAACUCUGUGCCAGCAGCCGCGGUAAUACAGAGGGUGCAAGCGUUAUUAUUACUGGGCGUAAAGCGCGCGUAGGCGGAUUAUUAAGUCAGUUGUGAAAGCCCUGGGCUCAACCUGGGAACUGCAUCUGAUACUGGUAGUCUAAAAUUUAAGAGAGGGAAGUGGAAUUCCAGGUGUAGCAGUGAAAUGCGUAGAUAUCUGGAGGAACAUCAGUGGCGAAGGCGACUUCCUGGCUUAAAACUGACGCUGAAGUGCGAAAGCGUGGGUAGCGAACGGGAUUAGAU